RNAcentral lists this ribosomal RNA (301 nucleotides) under uncultured bacterium. RNAcentral's name for it is "partial 16S ribosomal RNA". It matches the Rfam family "Bacterial small subunit ribosomal RNA", at positions 509 to 807 of the family's 1533-position model. The record is from RNAcentral.
CAGUCGCCACGGUAAAACGUAGGGGGCGAGCGUUGUCCGAAGUUACUGGGCGUAAAGAGCGCGUAGGCUGGUCUUUAAGUGAGUGGUGAAAGGUUCGGGCUCAACCCGGACACUGCCUUUCAUACUGGGGACCUUGAGUGUGGGAGAGGCGAGUGGAAUGGUCGGUGUAGCGGUGAGAUGCGUAGAUAUCGAUCGGAACACCCAUGGCGAAGGCAGCUCGCUGGCCUAACACUGACGCUGAGGCGCGAAAGCGUGGGGAGCAAACAGGAUUAGAUACCCCCGUAGUCCCUGUCUCUUAUAC